UCCUUUGCUAUCCAAAGCCUCCUCUCCCAGC
RNAcentral lists this non-coding RNA (31 nucleotides) under Rattus norvegicus (Norway rat). Lineage: Eukaryota; Metazoa; Chordata; Mammalia; Rodentia; Muridae. The record is from RNAcentral.